RNAcentral lists this ribosomal RNA (406 nucleotides) under uncultured bacterium. RNAcentral describes it as "partial 16S ribosomal RNA". It matches the Rfam family "Bacterial small subunit ribosomal RNA", at positions 29 to 526 of the family's 1533-position model. The record is from RNAcentral.
AUUGAACGCUGGCGGCAGGCCUAACACAUGCAAGUCUAACGAGUGGCGGACGGGUGAGUAAUGUCUGGGAAACUGCCUGAUGGAGGGGGAUAACUACUGGAAACGGUAGCUACUACCGCAUACCAUCGGAUGUGCCCAGAUGGGCUUAGCUAGUAGGUGGGGUAACGGCUCACCUAGGCGACGAUCCCUAGCUGGUCUGAGAGGAUGACCAGCCACACUGGAACUGAGACACGGGCCAGACGCCUACGGGAGGCAGCAGGGGGGAAUAUUGCACAAUGGGCGCAAGCCUGAUGCAGCCAUGCCGCGUGUAUGAAGAAGGCCUUCGGGUUGUAAAGUACUGGCAGCGGGGAGGCGUUACCCGCAGAAGAAGCACCGGCUAACUCCGUGCCAGCCGCCGCGGUAAUUC